This 301-nucleotide ribosomal RNA is filed under the name uncultured bacterium. Its description in RNAcentral is "partial 16S ribosomal RNA". It matches the Rfam family "Bacterial small subunit ribosomal RNA", at positions 509 to 807 of the family's 1533-position model. The record is from RNAcentral.
CAGUCGCCGCGGUAAUACGUAGGGUGCGAGCGUUAAUCGGAUUUACUGGGCGUAAAGCGUGCGCAGGCGGCCCGUUAAGACAGGUGUGAAAUCCCUGGGCUCAACCUAGGAAUUGCGCUUGUGACUGGCGGGCUCGAGUACGGUAGAGGGGGGUGGAAUUCCUGGUGUAGCAGUGAAAUGCGUAGAGAUCAGGAGGAACACCGAUGGCGAAGGCAGCCCCCUGGGCCUGUACUGACGUUCAUACACGAAAGCGUGGGGAGCAAACAGGAUUAGAUACCCGUGUAGUCCCUGUCUCUUAUAC